This 620-nucleotide ribosomal RNA is filed under the name Alcaligenes phenolicus. RNAcentral's name for it is "bacterial SSU rRNA". It matches the Rfam family "Bacterial small subunit ribosomal RNA", at positions 76 to 693 of the family's 1533-position model. Lineage: Bacteria; Pseudomonadati; Pseudomonadota; Betaproteobacteria; Burkholderiales; Alcaligenaceae. The record is from RNAcentral.
UUGCUCUCUUGGCGGCGAGUGGCGGACGGGUGAGUAAUAUAUCGGAACGUGCCCAGUAGCGGGGGAUAACUACUCGAAAGAGUGGCUAAUACCGCAUACGCCCUACGGGGGAAAGGGGGGGAUCGCAAGACCUCUCACUAUUGGAGCGGCCGAUAUCGGAUUAGCUAGUUGGUGGGGUAAAGGCUCACCAAGGCAACGAUCCGUAGCUGGUUUGAGAGGACGACCAGCCACACUGGGACUGAGACACGGCCCAGACUCCUACGGGAGGCAGCAGUGGGGAAUUUUGGACAAUGGGGGAAACCCUGAUCCAGCCAUCCCGCGUGUAUGAUGAAGGCCUUCGGGUUGUAAAGUACUUUUGGCAGAGAAGAAAAGGUAUCCCCUAAUACGGGAUACUGCUGACGGUAUCUGCAGAAUAAGCACCGGCUAACUACGUGCCAGCAGCCGCGGUAAUACGUAGGGUGCAAGCGUUAAUCGGAAUUACUGGGCGUAAAGCGUGUGUAGGCGGUUCGGAAAGAAAGAUGUGAAAUCCCAGGGCUCAACCUUGGAACUGCAUUUUUAACUGCCGAGCUAGAGUAUGUCAGAGGGGGGUAGAAUUCCACGUGUAGCAGUGAAAUGCGUAG